Caenorhabditis brenneri is the source of this 70-nucleotide non-coding RNA. The record is from Rfam. NCBI's taxonomy places the organism in Eukaryota, Metazoa, Nematoda, Chromadorea, Rhabditida, Rhabditidae.
AGCCUCGGUCCGGAGCCAAUGGGUUAUCGCAAACACGACUAAGUACCAUUGGCGACCACUUGACCGUUGU